Molecule: ribosomal RNA, 752 nt
Filed under: uncultured bacterium
Lineage: Bacteria
Description: bacterial SSU rRNA
Rfam family: Bacterial small subunit ribosomal RNA
Source: RNAcentral
AGAGUUUGAUCCUGGCUCAGAACGAACGCUGGCGGCAGGCCUAACACAUGCAAGUCGAACGCCCUCGCAAGAGGGAGUGGCAGACGGGUGAGCAACGCGUGGGAACAUACCCUUUGGUUCGGAAUAGCUCAGGGAAACUUGGAUUAAUACCGGAUACGCCUUAUGAGCGAUCAUGAGGGAAAGAUUUAUCGCCGAAGGAUUGGCCCGCGUCUGAUUAGCUAGUUGGCGGGGUAACGGCCCACCAAGGCGACGAUCAGUAGCUGGUCUGAGAGGAUGAUCAGCCACAUUGGGACUGAGACACGGCCCAAACUCCUACGGGAGGCAGCAGUGGGGAAUAUUGGACAAUGGGCGCAAGCCUGAUCCAGCCAUGCCGCGUGAGUGAUGAAGGCCUUAGGGUUGUAAAGCUCUUUUACCUGGGAAGAUAAUGACGGUACCAGGAGAAUAAGCCCCGGCUAACUUCGUGCCAGCAGCCGCGGUAAUACGAAGGGGGCUAGCGUUGUUCGGAUUUACUGGGCGUAAAGCGCACGUAGGCGGAUCUUUAAGUCAGGGGUGAAAUGCCGGGGCUCAACCCCGGAACGGCCUUUGAUACUGGGGAUCUCGAGCCCGGGAGAGGUGAGCGGAACUGCGAGUGUAGAGGUGAAAUUCGUAGAUAUUCGCAAGAACACCAGUGGCGAAGGCGGCUCACUGGCCCGGUACUGACGCUGAGGUGCGAAAGCGUGGGGAGCAAACAGGAUUAGAUACCCUGGUAGUCC